AGUGAACGCUGGCGGUAGGCCUAACACAUGCAAGUCGAACGGCAGCACAGUAAGAGCUUGCUCGUACGGGUGGCGAGUGGCGGACGGGUGAGGAAUACAUCGGAAUCUACUUUUUCGUGGGGGAUAACGUAGGGAAACUUACGCUAAUACCGCAUACGACCUACGGGUGAAAGCAGGGGAUCUUCGGACCUUGCGCGAUUGAAUGAGCCGAUGUCGGAUUAGCUAGUUGGCGGGGUAAAGGCCCACCAAGGCGACGAUCCGUAGCUGGUCUGAGAGGAUGAUCAGCCACACUGGAACUGAGACACGGUCCAGACUCCUACGGGAGGCAGGAGUGGGGAAUAUUGGAGAAUGGGCGCAAGCCUGAUCCAGCCAUACCGCGUGGGUGAAGAAGGCCUUCGGGUUGUAAAGCCCUUUUGUUGGGAAAGAAAAGCAGCAGGUUAAUACCCCGCUGUUCUGACGGUACCCAAAGAAUAAGCACCGGCUAACUUCGUG
RNAcentral lists this ribosomal RNA (492 nucleotides) under uncultured bacterium. RNAcentral describes it as "partial 16S ribosomal RNA". It matches the Rfam family "Bacterial small subunit ribosomal RNA", at positions 29 to 507 of the family's 1533-position model. The record is from RNAcentral.